Molecule: long non-coding RNA, 5150 nt
Filed under: Homo sapiens (human)
Lineage: Eukaryota; Metazoa; Chordata; Mammalia; Primates; Hominidae
Description: HSALNT0377939
Source: RNAcentral
GCCGCCUGCUGCAGCGGCGUUAGGUGGAUGGUCACCUCCACUAUGAGGGGGUUUUUCAAGGCGGCCCUCCGCAUUCGACUGAGGCGUGGAUCCUUCGAAGCGGCCGGCAUGAGGCUCCACAGGAGCCCCAUGGGCCCCACGCCCGUGAAGUCGCCUCCUAGAGCCAGGUCCCCGGCCAGGUCCAGCCCCCCGCCGCUGUCCACCUCGUAGUGGGCAAGGGAGUGGAAGAGGCGGCCUCGGUGGCUGACGCCCGACACCUGCAGGGUCACCGGCUCCCCCGAGCCCAAGCCUUCUGCUUUCAUAUCCAGGCACUUGUCGGCCAGCCCAGUCUUGGGCGUGACGGUCAGGGUCGCGGCCUUUUGGGAGAAAAAGGACGAUGUGGAUAUCGGCCUCCAGGCCUGGAGGGGGACCCCAGAGGCUCGGAGCGCUGCCCGGACCGCCGGCCACAUGGUCCGGGACUGUCGCGGCUUUGACCUCCGCCAAGGUCGAGGCGGCCUGGCACUGGCGGCCGAGGUUCCGCGCUGAAGAGGAGGGAGGAGGGGGGCCCGGCCUGGCAGGUCGUGGCCCUGUGGGGCAAAACCCUGCAGGGCCACGUGAUGGGACCUGGGCUGGUCCCUGCGGCGCCACUUAGCAACGGGCUGCAAGAAGAGACGACUUCGGAGGGCCCAGGGUCCUUUGAGCUCCUAGAGGUCCCGUGUGGAACCAUCUGGAAGAGGUAGGAUCCCCUCGCGAGUUUACCCCGGACGUGUGGCGAAUAAAGUUAAGCAUUUUUAACGGUGAUCACCAGAACGCACCUUUGGAUGCUGCAGCAUAAAGUCCACGGCUUCUUCAAAGUACUCCAGAUGUACAUCAUUCAGAUCUUCGGGGAGGUCUUCAAAUCUGAAAUAAGCCAGGGCAAGCACAGCAAAACCAUGUCCGGCCAGGAGGCUGGCCCUGUAUUCACAAAGGCCCCUGCUGCUCCCAAACAGAUCAAUGAUCCCAGGAAAGGGCCCCCUGCCUGGAGAACAUCACAAAUCACAGGGAGCUUUAGUUUCUCAAAAGACAGUAAGCAAACAAGUUUUUGAAGCCAAGGAGAUUGGGGGUAGAGAGAUUGGCAGAGAAAGAACAAAAUGUCUUAUUUUCUCAAACAAUAAUGAUAAUAUAGAGGGAUAAAAAACUACAUAUUGGGUACAAUGUAUACUACUCAGGCGACAGGUGCACUAAAAUCUCAGCGUUCAUCACUGUACAGUUCAUCCGUGUAACCCCAAACCACCUGUACACCAAAAGGUAUUGAAAUUAAAAAAAAAAUUUUUUUUUGACAGUCUCACUCUGUCGCCCAGGCUGAAGUGCAGUGGUGCAAUCUCAGCUCACUGCAACCUCUGCCCCCUGGGUUCAAGCAAUUCUCCUGCCUCAGCCCCCCAAGUAUCUGGAAUUACAGACAUGCAACAGACACCCGGCUAAUUUUUUUUGUAUUUUUAGUAGAGACUGGGUUUUGCCAUGUUGGCCAGGCUGGUCUUGAACUCCUGACCUCAGGUGAUCUGCCCACCUUGGCCUCCCAAAGUGCUGCGAUUACAGGUGUGAGCCACCGCAACCGGCCUAAAACUUUUUAAUGAUAUAAAUUAUUGUCACACCACUGCACUCCAGCCUGGGUGACAGAGUGAGACUCUAUCUCAAAAAUAAUAAUAAUAAUAAUAUUAUUUUCACAAACAAAAAUAAACCAAGUUAGAAAUAACAUAAUGAGGCCAGGUGUGGUGGUUCAUGCCUAUAAUCCCAGUGCUUUGGGAGGUCAAGAUAAGAGGACCACUUGAGGCCAGGAAUUCACGACCAGCCUGGGCAACAUAACAAGACCCAUCUCUACAAAAAAGUUUAAAAAACUAGCUGGGCAUGAUGGCACUUGCCUAUAGUCUUAGCUACUCAGGAGGAAGAGGCGGGAGGAUCAUCUGAGCCCAAGAGUUCCAGUUUGUGGUGACCUGUGAUCACACCACUGCACUGUAGCCUGUAGAUCACUGUAACCUUGAAUCCUUGGGCUCAAGUGACCCUCCAGCCUCAAGAAGCCACCCUCCCAAGUAGCUAGGCCCCUAUGCUUGGCUAAUUUUUAACUUUUUAUAGAAAUAGGGUCUCACUAUGCUGCCUGGGCUAGUCUCAAACUCCUGGCCUCAAGCAAUCCUCCCACUGCAAUGCUCCCACCUCGGCCUCUUCAAGUGCUGGGAUUUUAAGUGCGAGCCACUGCACUCAGCCUGUUUGUUUGUUUGUUUGUUUGUUUGUUUGUUUGUUGAGACAAGGUUUCACUCUUGUUGCCCAGGCUGCAGUGCAAUGGUGCGAUCUCGGCUCACUGCAACCUCCGUCUCCCCCCGGGUUCAAGCGAUUCUCCUGCCUCAGCCUCCCGAGUAGUUGGUAUUACAGGCAUGUGCCACCACACCUGGCUAAUUUUGUAUUUUUAGUAGAGAUGGGGUUUCACCAUGUUGGUGAGGCUGGUCUCAAACUCCUGACCUCAGAUGAUCCGCCCACCUUGGCCUCCCGAAGUGUUGGGAUUACAGGCGUAAGCCACUGCGCCCAGUCUUGUUUUUUUUUUCGUUGUUGCUGGUUUUUUUUGUUUUUUGUUUUUUUUUUUUUUUUUUUAUCAGACAGAGUCUCUCUCUGUUGCCCAGGCUGGAGUGAUGUGGUGUGAUUUUGGCUCACUGCAACCUCCACCUGCCGGGUUCAAGCAAUUCUCCUGCCUCAGCCUCCUGAGUAGCUGGGAUUACAGGCGCCCGCCACCAUGCCCGGCUAAUUUUUUGUAUUUUUAGUAGAGACAGGGUUUCACCAUCUUGGCCAGGCUGGUCUUGAACUCCUGACCUCGUGAUCCACCCACCUUGGCCUCCCAAAGUGCCGGGAUUAGAGGCGUGAGCCACCGCGCCUGGCCGCCUUGUUUUUUUUUUUGAGAUGGAGUCUUGCUCUGUCCUCCAGGCUGGAGUGCAACGGUGCGAUCUUGGCUCACUGCAACCUCUGCCCCCUGGGUUCAAGAGAUUCUCCUGCCUCAGCCUCCUGAGAUUACAGGCACCCACCACCAUGCCCGGCUAACUUUUGUAUUUUUAGUAGAGACGGGGUUUCACCAUGUUGGUCAGGCUGGUCUCGAACUCCUGACCUCAGGUGAUCCACCUGCCUCGGCCUCCCAAAGUGCUGGGAUUACAGGCGUGAGCCACUGCGCCCGGCUCCUUGUUUGUUUUUAAUGAAAGGUUUUAGUUGAUUCUUAGUCAGUGUGAUUUUUUUUUUUUUUUUUUUGAGACAGGGUCUCGCUCUGUCGCCCAGGCUGAAGUGUAGUGGCGCAAUCUUGGCUCACUGCAACCUCAGCCUCCCGGGUUCAAGCGAUUCUCCCACCUCAGCCUCCCUAGUAGCUGGGACUACAUGUGUGAGCCACUAUGCCUGGCUAAUUUUUUUGUAUUAUAUAAUUAGUAGAGGUAGGGUUUUGCCAUGUUGGCCAGGCUAGUCUUGAACUCCUGGCCUCAAGUGAUCCACCCACCUCAGCCUCCCAAAGUGCUAGGAUUACAGGUGUGAGCCACUGCGCCUGGCCCAGUCAGUAUGAUUUAUUGAGCUCCUACUAUAUCCUUGCGAAAGCCUCUAGGAACAUGGAUAUUUAGAAAUCUGUAAGACCCAAUUCCAGCCCCAGGAAUUCACAGUACAGUGGGCAGCCACGAGUUAAGGCUAAGAAUUGCUGAAGAGCUGUAAAAAUAAAGCAAGUUUUCUUGUUUUGGAGAAUAAUCACAGAAUUCGGUUUAAGGAUUCUAUGUGCUGUUGCAACUCUAGAAUUUGUUGUUGUUGUUGUUGUUUGAGGCAGGGUUUCACUCUGUUGUCCAGGCUGGAAUGCAGUGGCGUGAUCUCAGCUCACUGCAACCUCUACUUCCUGAUAUCAAACAAUCCUCCCACCUCAGCCUCCCAAGCAGCUGGGACUACAGGCAUGCACCACCAUGCCUGCCUAAUUUUUUUUUUUUUUUUUUUUUUUUUGUAGAGACAGAGUUUCACCAUGUUGCCCAGGCUGGUCUUGAACUCCUGGGCUCAAGUGAUCUGCCCACCUCAGCCUCCCAAAGUGCUGGGAUUACAGGCCUGAGCCACUGUGCCCGGCUCAUCAUUUUUAUAUGGUAGAGGUUUAAGUCAGGAAUUUAGUUAGAAGGGAUUAAUCAGGAGUCUUCUUUCUGGGCUACCUUUACCUAGCAAACAUCCUGUGUUUACUUAGACUAGGGUUCCUCAACCUCAGUAGUACAGACAUUUUCAGCAAGAUAAUUCUUUGUUCUGGUGGUUGUCCUGUGCAUUGUGGAAUGUUUAGCAGCAUCUCUGGCCUCUGCCUGCUAGAUGCCAAUAGCACCUCUCCCUUCAGAUAUGACAACCACAAAUGUCUCCAGAUAUUGCCAAAUUUCCCCCAGGGAGGGCGGCUAAUCAUUGCAGGUUGAGAACCACGUACAGCAUGUUUAUGAUAGAAGGGAGAGGACUGUCAGGCAGUUUUGUGUGUGUUUUUAAACAAUUAAAGGGCAUUGCCAAUACUGUGGAUUUUAGCUUCUUUGGAAGUUUGAUGUGAAAGGAGGCAAAAAUCCUUCUUGCACAUCAGCUUAAGGUUUUGCCCAUAUCGUAUUCAAACAAAACCACAUGGCUGGCACAUAGUGGCUCUCAAUAAAUAUAUAAUAAGUUGAAUGCACUAUUCAGCACAUAGCUAAAGUGGUGGUGCCUCCAGGGAGGGACGUGAAACUUAAAAAGGAAAGACUGGAGUAGCUACUCAGGAGGCUGAGGCGAGAGGACUUGAGCCCAGGAGUUCGAGGCUGCAGUGUGAGCUACGAUCCAGCCACGGCACUCCAGCCUGGGCAACAGCGGACGCCCAGACUCAGAAUCCAUGACAGACUCUGGAGCGAAGGAACAAGUUCAGGGAUGUUCCACAAUCACGCGAUUCCCAGGACAGGAAAGGGGCCGGUGGGGGUCGCAGAGCUCGACCAAAUUCUGGGCAGACUACUCAUCCGGCGGCAGGAAGAGCGCGGCGCGCACCGGGCCCGCGCGCACCGGCUCGCGCCGCACCCCCGGCCGGAGAAAGUCGCGCUUGUUCUGCGCCAGGCACAGCAGCCGCCCGGGCUCGGUGUCGUGGCCGUCCAGCACUUCCAGCUCCACGGCGAAGGGCGUCCGCACGUCGCGCUUCACCAGCCGCACCAAGG